Salvelinus sp. IW2-2015 is the source of this 496-nucleotide non-coding RNA. NCBI's taxonomy places the organism in Eukaryota, Metazoa, Chordata, Actinopteri, Salmoniformes, Salmonidae. The record is from RefSeq and is a predicted model, not a curated record.
AAUAGUGCACUAUAGGGGCUAGGGUGCCAUUUGGGACGAACACAGGGUUUGCAGUCCCAUGAACUCGCAGUAACAGCAGCAAAUGGAACUUAACAAGACAUUCAUUAACUGCAUCCUACUAUCUUAUCAAGGGGAAGUAAUAAAGUUUCCCGUGUGUAUCAAGAAUGGUCCACCACCCAAAGGAUAUCCAGCCAACUUGACACAACUACGGGAGGCAUUGGUGUCUACAUGAGCCAGCGUCCCAUGUAGUGUCCAUGCAAAGAGGAAUUGAUGUUGUUCUGAAAGCAMAACGAUUCAUGUCAUGACCAUGAGCUCCUACAUGCGCUCCAGUAUUAAAGUUGCCAUCCAGUGGCCACCACUAUUCCUCCAGCCACAUCUGGAACUCCAAGAAAGACAGGCUGGCAGACAGACACAUACAAAGGGCCAGCUCUAGCUUUUUGGGGACCCAAAGCGAGAUUUGGUUGGAGGAGGAGGAGGGGUCCCCCCCCCCCACCAA